AUGAGGUGGGAUGCGGAGAUAGGCCUCGCACACGACAAUGAAUGUCGUGAUGUUGACAAUGAAGUUGGGGGCCAGGUCAUGGAAAUCCAGCCCGUAGUAAAACAUCAGUCCACGGACGAAUGGGUGAAGAGGGAACCCCAACCCGCGGACGAAAUGUGUAAGAAACACAACCCUCUCGUGGGGCUCUGGAGUAGGGACGAUCUGUCCCUUGGCCGGGAGUCGAUGAGCAAUCUCCUUGGCCAGAUAUCCGGCCUCCCGGAGCUCCUUGAUAUCCUUCUUCUUGACAGAGGAGGCCAUCCACUUGCCUCCAGCUCCGGAUCCGGACAUAUUUGGAGUGCUUUCUCGGACGAGGAAAAGCUAAAGCUUGGGCGCUGGAGCUCAGGGACGGAAGGGCUAAGGAGGAACCGAGGUGUGGGUGAAGAAAGGGAAUCCUUAUCUCCUUAUAAAGGCCAUGAAUAUCAAGCGCCUCCCCACUCGCCUUAA
RNAcentral lists this ribosomal RNA (483 nucleotides) under Triticum aestivum (bread wheat). RNAcentral describes it as "partial small subunit ribosomal RNA". The record is from RNAcentral. Lineage: Eukaryota; Viridiplantae; Streptophyta; Magnoliopsida; Poales; Poaceae.